Molecule: long non-coding RNA, 638 nt
Organism: Solenopsis invicta (red fire ant)
Lineage: Eukaryota; Metazoa; Arthropoda; Insecta; Hymenoptera; Formicidae
Exons: 2
Source: RefSeq, a predicted model, not a curated record
ACCUGAAAUAGAAAUCGGCGGAACUUCUGCUUCCGUUUUUUGUUUGCUCGCCACUCGACGCGCUGUUGAAACACUCGUCACUCCAUUCUUCCCAACAAUAGGACCACGGAAGUACCGACUGGCAGCUAGCCACCAUGUAGUAGAGCGUCAGAGCCAUAAGGGCGCAAUAAUAGGUCUGAGAUCUUGGUCCUCAUAGGAAAUACCUUGGAAUGCAGGCGACACCGACCAGAUCUGCACGCAAGAUCUGCUGGUGAACUGCCCGAGGAUCAUCUCCAUGUAGUAGAAGGGUUUGCCGAUUACGAAGAGCACUAUUAUGUAGGGAAUUAGAAAGGCGCCGCCGCCGUUCUCGUAAGCCGUGUACGGAAAUCGCCAGACGUUCCCAAGACCAACCGAGAACGCCACGCAUGACAGGAGGAACUCCACUCCGUUUCCCCAUUGGGCCCUCACAUUCUUCUCCUCCUCCACCUUGACUGACAACGAGAUCUGUGAAGUAAAUUGCAAGGAGUUUUGAAAACUCUCAAAAAGGAAAUCCUAAUUAGUGUUAAACUUACUCUGCCUUCGAACUCAUUUCCGCCAGCUGACAAUGGAACAGACAGCUUGAAUAUACCGGGAGUUCCGCCAGUGUCGGUAACAUGAUU